RNAcentral lists this ribosomal RNA (891 nucleotides) under Kitasatospora sp. H2R8_pA. RNAcentral describes it as "bacterial SSU rRNA". It matches the Rfam family "Bacterial small subunit ribosomal RNA", at positions 8 to 916 of the family's 1533-position model. Lineage: Bacteria; Bacillati; Actinomycetota; Actinomycetes; Kitasatosporales; Streptomycetaceae. The record is from RNAcentral.
AGAGUUUGAUCCUGGCUCAGGACGAACGCUGGCGGCGUGCUUAACACAUGCAAGUCGAACGAUGAAGCCUUCGGGUGGAUUAGUGGCGAACGGGUGAGUAACACGUGGGAAAUCUGCCCUGCACUCUGGGACAAGCCUUGGAAACGAGGUCUAAUACCGGAUAUGACCUUCCUCCGCAUGGGGGUUGGUGGAAAGCUCCGGCGGUGCAGGAUGAUCCCGCGGCCUAUCAGCUUGUUGGUGGGGUAACGGCCCACCAAGGCGACGACGGGUAGCCGGCCUGAGAGGGCGACCGGCCACACUGGGACUGAGACACGGCCCAGACUCCUACGGGAGGCAGCAGUGGGGAAUAUUGCACAAUGGGCGAAAGCCUGAUGCAGCGACGCCGCGUGAGGGAUGACGGCCUUCGGGUUGUAAACCUCUUUCAGCAGGGAAGAAGCGCAAGUGACGGUACCUGCAGAAGAAGCACCGGCUAACUACGUGCCAGCAGCCGCGGUAAUACGUAGGGUGCGAGCGUUGUCCGGAAUUAUUGGGCGUAAAGAGCUCGUAGGCGGCCUGUCGCGUCGGAUGUGAAAGCCCGGGGCUUAACCCCGGGUCUGCAUUCGAUACGGGCAGGCUAGAGUGUGGUAGGGGAGAUCGGAAUUCCUGGUGUAGCGGUGAAAUGCGCAGAUAUCAGGAGGAACACCGGUGGCGAAGGCGGAUCUCUGGGCCAUUACUGACGCUGAGGAGCGAAAGCGUGAGGAGCGAACAGGAUUAGAUACCCUGGUAGUCCACGCCGUAAACGUUGGGAACUAGGUGUUGGCGACAUUCCACGUCGUCGGUGCCGCAGCUAACGCAUUAAGUUCCCCGCCUGGGGAGUACGGCCGCAAGGCUAAAACUCAAAGGAAUUGACGG